RNAcentral lists this ribosomal RNA (2930 nucleotides) under Escherichia coli. RNAcentral describes it as "bacterial LSU rRNA". It matches the Rfam family "Bacterial large subunit ribosomal RNA". Lineage: Bacteria; Pseudomonadati; Pseudomonadota; Gammaproteobacteria; Enterobacterales; Enterobacteriaceae. The record is from RNAcentral.
GGGUUGUGAGGUUAAGCGACUAAGCGUACACGGUGGAUGCCCUGGCAGUCAGAGGCGAUGAAGGACGUGCUAAUCUGCGAUAAGCGUCGGUAAGGUGAUAUGAACCGUUAUAACCGGCGAUUUCCGAAUGGGGAAACCCAGUGUGAUUCGUCACACUAUCAUUAACUGAAUCCAUAGGUUAAUGAGGCGAACCGGGGGAACUGAAACAUCUAAGUACCCCGAGGAAAAGAAAUCAACCGAGAUUCCCCCAGUAGCGGCGAGCGAACGGGGAGCAGCCCAGAGCCUGAAUCAGUGUGUGUGUUAGUGGAAGCGUCUGGAAAGGCGCGCGAUACAGGGUGACAGCCCCGUACACAAAAAUGCACAUGCUGUGAGCUCGAUGAGUAGGGCGGGACACGUGGUAUCCUGUCUGAAUAUGGGGGGACCAUCCUCCAAGGCUAAAUACUCCUGACUGACCGAUAGUGAACCAGUACCGUGAGGGAAAGGCGAAAAGAACCCCGGCGAGGGGAGUGAAAAAGAACCUGAAACCGUGUACGUACAAGCAGUGGGAGCACGCUUAGGCGUGUGACUGCGUACCUUUUGUAUAAUGGGUCAGCGACUUAUAUUCUGUAGCAAGGUUAACCGAAUAGGGGAGCCGAAGGGAAACCGAGUCUUAACUGGGCGUUAAGUUGCAGGGUAUAGACCCGAAACCCGGUGAUCUAGCCAUGGGCAGGUUGAAGGUUGGGUAACACUAACUGGAGGACCGAACCGACUAAUGUUGAAAAAUUAGCGGAUGACUUGUGGCUGGGGGUGAAAGGCCAAUCAAACCGGGAGAUAGCUGGUUCUCCCCGAAAGCUAUUUAGGUAGCGCCUCGUGAAUUCAUCUCCGGGGGUAGAGCACUGUUUCGGCAAGGGGGUCAUCCCGACUUACCAACCCGAUGCAAACUGCGAAUACCGGAGAAUGUUAUCACGGGAGACACACGGCGGGUGCUAACGUCCGUCGUGAAGAGGGAAACAACCCAGACCGCCAGCUAAGGUCCCAAAGUCAUGGUUAAGUGGGAAACGAUGUGGGAAGGCCCAGACAGCCAGGAUGUUGGCUUAGAAGCAGCCAUCAUUUAAAGAAAGCGUAAUAGCUCACUGGUCGAGUCGGCCUGCGCGGAAGAUGUAACGGGGCUAAACCAUGCACCGAAGCUGCGGCAGCGACACUGUGUGUUGUUGGGUAGGGGAGCGUUCUGUAAGCCUGCGAAGGUGUGCUGUGAGGCAUGCUGGAGGUAUCAGAAGUGCGAAUGCUGACAUAAGUAACGAUAAAGCGGGUGAAAAGCCCGCUCGCCGGAAGACCAAGGGUUCCUGUCCAACGUUAAUCGGGGCAGGGUGAGUCGACCCCUAAGGCGAGGCCGAAAGGCGUAGUCGAUGGGAAACAGGUUAAUAUUCCUGUACUUGGUGUUACUGCGAAGGGGGGACGGAGAAGGCUAUGUUGGCCGGGCGACGGUUGUCCCGGUUUAAGCGUGUAGGCUGGUUUUCCAGGCAAAUCCGGAAAAUCAAGGCUGAGGCGUGAUGACGAGGCACUACGGUGCUGAAGCAACAAAUGCCCUGCUUCCAGGAAAAGCCUCUAAGCAUCAGGUAACAUCAAAUCGUACCCCAAACCGACACAGGUGGUCAGGUAGAGAAUACCAAGGCGCUUGAGAGAACUCGGGUGAAGGAACUAGGCAAAAUGGUGCCGUAACUUCGGGAGAAGGCACGCUGAUAUGUAGGUGAAGUCCCUCGCGGAUGGAGCUGAAAUCAGUCGAAGAUACCAGCUGGCUGCAACUGUUUAUUAAAAACACAGCACUGUGCAAACACGAAAGUGGACGUAUACGGUGUGACGCCUGCCCGGUGCCGGAAGGUUAAUUGAUGGGGUUAGCGCAAGCGAAGCUCUUGAUCGAAGCCCCGGUAAACGGCGGCCGUAACUAUAACGGUCCUAAGGUAGCGAAAUUCCUUGUCGGGUAAGUUCCGACCUGCACGAAUGGCGUAAUGAUGGCCAGGCUGUCUCCACCCGAGACUCAGUGAAAUUGAACUCGCUGUGAAGAUGCAGUGUACCCGCGGCAAGACGGAAAGACCCCGUGAACCUUUACUAUAGCUUGACACUGAACAUUGAGCCUUGAUGUGUAGGAUAGGUGGGAGGCUUUGAAGUGUGGACGCCAGUCUGCAUGGAGCCGGCCUUGAAAUACCACCCUUUAAUGUUUGAUGUUCUAACGUUGACCCGUGAUCCGGGUUGCGGACAGUGUCUGGUGGGUAGUUUGACUGGGGCGGUCUCCUCCUAAAGAGUAACGGAGGAGCACGAAGGUUGGCUAAUCCUGGUCGGACAUCAGGAGGUUAGUGCAAUGGCAUAAGCCAGCUUGACUGCGAGCGUGACGGCGCGAGCAGGUGCGAAAGCAGGUCAUAGUGAUCCGGUGGUUCUGAAUGGAAGGGCCAUCGCUCAACGGAUAAAAGGUACUCCGGGGAUAACAGGCUGAUACCGCCCAAGAGUUCAUAUCGACGGCGGUGUUUGGCACCUCGAUGUCGGCUCAUCACAUCCUGGGGCUGAAGUAGGUCCCAAGGGUAUGGCUGUUCGCCAUUUAAAGUGGUACGCGAGCUGGGUUUAGAACGUCGUGAGACAGUUCGGUCCCUAUCUGCCGUGGGCGCUGGAGAACUGAGGGGGGCUGCUCCUAGUACGAGAGGACCGGAGUGGACGCAUCACUGGUGUUCGGGUUGUCAUGCCAAUGGCACUGCCCGGUAGCUAAAUGCGGAAGAGAUAAGUGCUGAAAGCAUCUAAGCACGAAACUUGCCCCGAGAUGAGUUCUCCCUGACUCCUUGAGAGUCCUGAAGGAACGUUGAAGACGACGACGUUGAUAGGCCGGGUGUGUAAGCGCAGCGAUGCGUUGAGCUAACCGGUACUAAUGAACCGUGAGGCUUAACCUUACAACGCCGAAGGUGUUU